Molecule: ribosomal RNA, 257 nt
Filed under: uncultured bacterium
Lineage: Bacteria
Description: partial 16S ribosomal RNA
Rfam family: Bacterial small subunit ribosomal RNA
Source: RNAcentral
UACGGGGGGGAGCAAGCGUUGUUCGGAUUUACUGGGCGUAAAGGGCGCGUAGGCGGCGCAACAAGUCACUUGUGAAAUCUCCGGGCUUAACCCGGAGCGGCCAAGUGAUACUGUCGUGCUAGAGUGCGGAAGGGGCUACUGGAAUUCUCGGUGUAGCGGUGAAAUUGCGUAGAUAUCUGGAGGAACACCGGUGGCGAAGGCGGCGAUCCUGGACCGGUAUUGACGCUGAGGCGCGAAAGCCAGGGGAGCAAACAGGA